AGUGAACGCUGGCGGUAGGCCUAACACAUGCAAGUCGAACGGCAGCACAGUAAGAGCUUGCUCUUACGGGUGGCGAGUGGCGGACGGGUGAGGAAUACAUCGGAAUCUACUUUUUCGUGGGGGAUAACGUAGGGAAACUUACGCUAAUACCGCAUACGACCUACGGGUGAAAGCAGGGGAUCUUCGGACCUUGCGCGAUUGAAUGAGCCGAUGUCGGAUUAGCUAGUUGGCGGGGUAAAGGGCCACCAAGGCGACGAUCCGUAGCUGGUCUGAGAGGAUGAUCAGCCACACUGGAACUGAGACACGGUCCAGACUCCUACGGGAGGCAGCAGCGGGGAAUAUUGGACAAUGGGCGCAAGCCUGAUCCAGCCAUACCGCGUGGGUGAAGAAGGCCUUCGGGUUGUAAAGCCCUUUUGUUGGGAAAGAAAAGCAGCAGGUUAAUACCCCGCUGUUCUGACGGUACCCAAAGAAUAAGCACCGGCUAACUUCGUG
This 492-nucleotide ribosomal RNA is filed under the name uncultured bacterium. RNAcentral describes it as "partial 16S ribosomal RNA". It matches the Rfam family "Bacterial small subunit ribosomal RNA", at positions 29 to 507 of the family's 1533-position model. The record is from RNAcentral.